CCCAACCUGGAUGAUCUGGUCUCUAUUGCGAGACAGGUGGGAGGCUUGAAAAUUUGCGGGACUUUGGAGCCAUCUUGAGAUACCACUCUUUUAAGCUCGAAUUCUCACUCUCUUUCGUUAUCCCGGGAGAGGACACUCCCUCGGGGGCAGUUUGACUGGGGCGGUCGCCUCCUAAAAGGUAACGGAGACGCACAAAGGUUUCCUCUCAUACUAUACAGUCUUUCUAAUAGAGCGAGGCAAAAGGAGCUUGACUGUGCGACACCGACUCAAGCAGAGGAAAAUCCUGUUUUGUCCCCGAUCCUGCUGGAAAGGGGUCGCUCUCGGAUAAAAUUUUCUCGGUAUAGGCUGAAAA
Molecule: ribosomal RNA, 352 nt
Filed under: uncultured organism
Description: bacterial LSU rRNA
Rfam family: Bacterial large subunit ribosomal RNA
Source: RNAcentral